This is a small nuclear RNA of Trichechus manatus latirostris (Florida manatee), 107 nucleotides long. The record is from RefSeq and is a predicted model, not a curated record. NCBI's taxonomy places the organism in Eukaryota, Metazoa, Chordata, Mammalia, Sirenia, Trichechidae.
AUGCUCACUUCGGCAGCACAUAUAGUAAAACUGGAAUGAUACAGAGAAGAUUAGUGUGGCCCAUGAACAAGGAUGAGAUGUAAAUUCAUGAAUCAUUCCAUAUUUUU